RNAcentral lists this ribosomal RNA (253 nucleotides) under uncultured bacterium. Its description in RNAcentral is "partial 16S ribosomal RNA". It matches the Rfam family "Bacterial small subunit ribosomal RNA", at positions 524 to 776 of the family's 1533-position model. The record is from RNAcentral.
UACGGAGGGUGCAAGCGUUAUCCGGAUUUACUGGGUUUAAAGGGUGCGCAGGCGGAUAUGUAAGUCAGUGGUGAAAUCUCCAGGCUUAACCUGGAAAUUGCCGUUGAUACUAUAUAUCUUGAAUGCUGUGGAGGUAAGCGGAAUAUGUCAUGUAGCGGUGAAAUGCUUAGAGAUGACAUAGAACACCUAUUGCGAAGGCAGCUUACUACGCAUAUAUUGACGCUCAUGCACGAAAGCGUGGGGAUCAAACAGG